RNAcentral lists this long non-coding RNA (653 nucleotides) under Lathyrus oleraceus (garden pea). RNAcentral's name for it is "Pisum sativum (pea) long non-coding RNA (PSAT_LNC009042)". Lineage: Eukaryota; Viridiplantae; Streptophyta; Magnoliopsida; Fabales; Fabaceae. The record is from RNAcentral.
UUUGCCAAACGAUGAAAAUUCGGUGAGGGAUCAUCGGGGAAGUUGAUCGGAGUUGUUUCGGUCAUCUGAGUUGGCUAUACACGUUGGCAUUUUGAAAUGUUCUGAUUGGUCUAUUUUGAAUGUGAUUCUGUUUUUUAUUCUGGCUAUUUUCCAAUGGCGCCCUAGCUUGAUAGUUGUUGGGUCUGUCACGUCAAUUAAUGAGGCCAGAUCCGAAACCUCAGUUUUUUUUAAUUUCUUUUUCUUUUUUAUUUUAAAUUGUAUUUUCUUAAAAAUUCAUAGUAAAUUCAUUUUUCAACCAAAAAAUACCAAAAUAAUUUCUAAAAUUUUCUUUAUCUUAUUUUUAUUUUUCCAUAUUUUAUUUUCUUGAUUUUCUAUUUUUCUUGGAUUUUCUCCUUUUUCAUUUGUUUUAAUUGGUUUAAAAAUACUUUUAUGCAUUUAAAAAUUCUGAAAAAUUUAUUUUACAUUACUUAUUCUAUCUCCAACCUUCCAUAAUUUUCUUGGCCAUUUAUUUGGUGUUUUGAAGGGCUUUGUGGAUUUUCUCUUUUAUUUCGCUUUUAAAAUUCAUUUUAAAAAUAUUUUUGAUCAUUUUAUUUUAUUUUCUUGCAUUUUAUGUUUGUUUGACCAUUGUUGACUUCUGCUGGCGUUGGAUAUUG